Long non-coding RNA from Crotalus tigris (Tiger rattlesnake), 281 nucleotides. RefSeq lists it as uncharacterized. The transcript has 2 exons. The record is from RefSeq and is a predicted model, not a curated record. NCBI's taxonomy places the organism in Eukaryota, Metazoa, Chordata, Lepidosauria, Squamata, Viperidae.
GCGAGCUGUCUGGAAGCUUCCACUCCUCCCUGCUGAGCAACUACUAAAAAUUGUCUGUUAUGACUUGGAUAUUUCUAGAAACCAGUCUCCAAGCAAACAUAAAACCCAUCACACCUAGUUUGGCUUAAAAGCAGUGUUUGGUCAAUAAUGCAAAUUUAUUGGAAAAAUGAAGCACAUGUAUGACAGAAUAUCAAGAAGAAGCACUCAAGCAGUAGUCUCACAGUUACUAUCUCUAGAUUGCAGCAACCUGGAUGAUCAGUCGAUGGUCGCAAAUAAAAUCG